RNAcentral lists this ribosomal RNA (638 nucleotides) under Trischistoma corticulensis. Its description in RNAcentral is "SSU rRNA". It matches the Rfam family "Eukaryotic small subunit ribosomal RNA", at positions 1144 to 1804 of the family's 1831-position model. Lineage: Eukaryota; Metazoa; Nematoda; Enoplea; Enoplida; Trischistomatidae. The record is from RNAcentral.
UUAAAGGAAUUGACGGAAGGGCACCACCAGGAGUGGAGCCUGCGGCUUAAUUUGACUCAACGCGGGGAAACUCACCCGGCCCGGACACCGUAAGGAUUGACAGAUUGAGAGCUCUUUCUUGAUUCGGUGGGUGGUGGUGCAUGGCCGUUCUUAGUUGGUGGAGCGAUUUGUCUGGUUAAUUCCGAUAACGAACGAGACUCUAGCCUAUUAAAUAGUCGACGGAUCAUUAGUCCGCUGUACUUCUUAGAGGGACAGAGGGCUUCUAGCCUUACGAGAUUGAGCAAUAACAGGUCUGUGAUGCCCUUAGAUGUCCGGGGCUGCACGCGCGCUACACUGAAGGAAUCAACGUGUCUGCUUCCUGCUUCGAAAGGAGUGGGUAACCCGUUGAAACUCCUUCGUGAUUGGGAUAGGGGCUUGUAAUUAUUCCCCUUGAACGAGGAAUUCCUAGUAAGCGCGGGUCAACAUCUCGUGUUGAUUACGUCCCUGCCCUUUGUACACACCGCCCGUCGCUACUACCGAUUGGAUGAUUUAGUGAGGCGCUCGGACCGGCGUCAUAGCGGCCGAAAGGUUGCCCUGACGGUUGGAAAGAGAACCUAACUGCAUCAUCUAGAGGAAGUAAAAGUCGUAACAAGGUUUCC